Molecule: ribosomal RNA, 460 nt
Filed under: uncultured bacterium
Lineage: Bacteria
Description: bacterial SSU rRNA
Rfam family: Bacterial small subunit ribosomal RNA
Source: RNAcentral
GAUGAACGUUGGCGGCGUGCCUAAUACAUGCAAGUCGAACGAAGACUGUAGUAAUACUGUCUUAGUGGCAACGGGUGAGUAACGCGUGGGUGACCUGCCCCGAAGUGUGGGAUAACAGUUCGAAAGGAUUUGCUAAUACUGCAUAAUAUCCAAGAGAUUAGACGCUUUUGGAUUAAAGGAGUAAUUCGCUUCGGGAGGGGCCCGCGUCCCAUCAGCUAGUUGGUAAGGUAAUGGCUUACCAAGGCGAUGACGGGUAGGGGACCUGAGAGGGUGGCCCCCCACAAUGGAACUGAAACACGGUCCAUACACCUACGGGUGGCAGCAGUAGGGAAUAUUAGUAAUGGGCGAAAGCCUGAACUAGCAACGCCGCGUGUGCGAAGAAGGCCUUCGGGUUGUAAAGCACUUUUUGAGAGGAUGAGGAAGGACGGUACUCUCAGAAUAAGUCUCGGCUAACUACGUG